This is a long non-coding RNA of Gasterosteus aculeatus aculeatus (three-spined stickleback), 521 nucleotides long. NCBI's taxonomy places the organism in Eukaryota, Metazoa, Chordata, Actinopteri, Perciformes, Gasterosteidae. The record is from Ensembl.
UAUUUCGCGAAAUAGAGAAUCCUCUGAGCAAGUCUGAAGUGACUUAUCAACGCGGCUGCAGGAGAAGUUCUAACAGUCUUUUCCCCGCCAUGGUCCUUUGAAACCUCUUGAGGAGGUGACCCUUUGGAGAAGAGGCCAAUGACAUUCAAAUGCACCAAAGAAGACACACCUCAAGAGGUUUCAGGUUACAGCUGCAGCUUCACACCUCGACGUGGAAGGGACAAUGGAGGAGGUGACCCUUUGGAGAAGAGGCCAAUGACAUUCAAAUGCACCAAAGAAGACACACCUCAAGAGGUUUCAAAGGACCAUGGCGGGGAAAAGACUGUUAGAACUUCUCCUGCAGCCGCGUUGAUAAGUCACUUCAGACUUGCUCAGAGGAUUCUCUAUUUCGCGAAAUAUUCCACUGUUCGCUUAGUAUUUCACUUUGUAAUUGUAAUCCCUAAUACGUUGUUCAGUUAUUAAAUAACUUUUGAUUUUUGAAUUUAAACGAAUUGACUCAUUCGUGUCCUCGUUUCCGGCCG